This 386-nucleotide ribosomal RNA is filed under the name Perognathus flavescens (plains pocket mouse). Its description in RNAcentral is "partial 12S ribosomal RNA". It matches the Rfam family "Bacterial small subunit ribosomal RNA", at positions 796 to 1381 of the family's 1533-position model. The record is from RNAcentral. Lineage: Eukaryota; Metazoa; Chordata; Mammalia; Rodentia; Heteromyidae.
AUAGCCAUGAACACAAGUGAAUUCAAAACAAGUUCACUCGCCAGAGAACUACUAGCCACAGCUUAAAACUCAAAGGACUUGGCGGUGCUUUAUAUCCAUCUAGAGGAGCCUGUUCUGUAAUCGAUAAACCCCGAUAUACCUCACCACUUCUUGCUAAAUCAGUCUGUAUACCGCCAUCUUCAGCAAACCCUAAAAAGGGAAAUCAGUAAGCUCAAUUAUAUUGUAUAAAAAAGUUAGGUCAAGGUGUAACCUAUGAAGUGGAAUGAAAUGGGCUACAUUUUCUAUAAUUCUAGAACAAACGAAAUCCUACAUGAAACUGGUAGGCUAAAGGAGGAUUUAGCAGUAAACUAAAAAUAGAGUGUUUAGUUGAACAGAGCAAUGAAGCA